UGGGUAACCUGCCUUAUAGUGGGGGAUAGCCUUUCGAAAGGAAGAUUAAUACCNCAUAAGAUUGUAGUAUCGCAUGAUAUAGCAAUUAAAGGAGCAAUUCGCUAUAAGAUGGACCCGCGUCGCAUUAGCUAGUUGGUGAGGUAAUGGCUCACCAAGGCGACGAUGCGUAGCCGACCUGAGAGGGUGAUCGGCCACAUUGGGGACUGAGACACGGCCCAGACUCCUACGGGAGGCAGCAUG
This 240-nucleotide ribosomal RNA is filed under the name uncultured bacterium. RNAcentral describes it as "partial 16S ribosomal RNA". It matches the Rfam family "Bacterial small subunit ribosomal RNA", at positions 118 to 353 of the family's 1533-position model. The record is from RNAcentral.